AUACGGAGGGAGCUAGCGUUGUUCGGAAUUACUGGGCGUAAAGCGCACGUAGGCGGAUUGGUCAGUUGGAGGUGAAAUCCCAGGGCUCAACCCUGGAACUGCCUUCAAUACUGCCAGUCUAGAGAUCGGAAGAGGUGAGUGGAAUUCCUAGUGUAGAGGUGAAAUUCGUAGAUAUUAGGAGGAACACCAGUGGCGAAGGCGGCUCACUGGUCCGAUACUGACGCUGAGGUGCGAAAGCGUGGGGAGCAAACAGGAUUAGAAACCCCAGUAGUCC
This 274-nucleotide ribosomal RNA is filed under the name uncultured bacterium. RNAcentral's name for it is "partial 16S ribosomal RNA". It matches the Rfam family "Bacterial small subunit ribosomal RNA", at positions 523 to 796 of the family's 1533-position model. The record is from RNAcentral.